This 814-nucleotide long non-coding RNA is filed under the name Homo sapiens (human). RNAcentral's name for it is "non-protein coding lnc-PLPP3-2:5". The record is from RNAcentral. Lineage: Eukaryota; Metazoa; Chordata; Mammalia; Primates; Hominidae.
GGGUAGGCGAGGGUGCCGAGGGAGGCAGGAGGCCCUUUCUGAGGAAAACCGAAGGGGGUGAAAAUAGGGGGUGAGACUGGGGCCCGAUCCUAGGGAAUGGAAAGACUUGGAAGUCAAACUGGAAGAAGAGACGGGCCUCGCAUGUCGGGAGCGAGGGGCUGUAAAAGGGAAGAAUCGGGAGGGGAGACUGCGGGAAGGGCCCUGGCCAAAGGGGCAGUGGCAGGAGAGCCUCUAGGAAGCUCCUCAAGUCUCGUCUGAGGCUUUUGGAUACAGGUCGCGGCACAGGGAGAAUGCACGCAGCUCUGUGCUCUCUUGAAUUGUCCUCCUCUACUUAUUCUGUAAUUCCCAAUUAUUUUGUCCUAUAGAUGGAAGAGACCCUCUCCGCCAGAGCUCUCAAUUUUAACUAAUUUGCCCACAGUUUUCCAAAAAAUCUCAGUCACGGUAUUUGCUCGAGUGUUUUUUAGCACAUGCUUAUAUAAAUAUGUAGUUUUACCACGCGCUUAUAUAAACAUAUAGUACCGAAAUGUGAUACAGCUGUACAAGAAGGAAAUGGGAAAGACGUGGAAAGGGAAACAAUGUUCUGCCCACAGAAAGUAAAAUACGUAAGCGACAGAGGAAUUGUGAAGGGCGAGGCCAGUAUAAGGUCACAUAUUAAAGGAAGAAUAAAUGUGAUAUAGAAGUGAAAAGAGUGGUAAGAGGAAAUUAGAAGCAUGAUGCCUAGGCAGCGUGUUCAAAGACUGACCUCCCCACCCUCCCCCACAAAAAAAAAGAAAAAAGACUGGCAAAGAAUUAGAUCAUCUUUCUUGCUGACAAG